This is a small nucleolar RNA of Ornithorhynchus anatinus (platypus), 138 nucleotides long. NCBI's taxonomy places the organism in Eukaryota, Metazoa, Chordata, Mammalia, Monotremata, Ornithorhynchidae. The record is from RefSeq and is a predicted model, not a curated record.
CCCCUCUCAGGGUCGCACCUGGAGAGUUUCCAGUACUCUAUCAGUCUCAACUAUGGGAAGGAGAGUCAAGCAGCGGCCUACCCAUUCCAUUCUUAGCUCGACCAGUGGCUAGCGAAUGGAAGGCAAACUGCCACAAGU